This is an unclassified non-coding RNA of Chelonoidis abingdonii (Abingdon island giant tortoise), 189 nucleotides long. The record is from Ensembl. Lineage: Eukaryota; Metazoa; Chordata; Testudines; Testudinidae.
UUGACAGCUCUACAGACUCAAGUCCUCUAUUUUACCUCAGAACAAUCUCAGCAGAGGCAGCAGCAGCACAAAUAUCCCUAACAUUUCCCCUUGUGAAUGUGACACAACCUUGACCUGGAGGGACUACUUUGGGAAGGGGGGUUGGGGAAGGGAGAAGUUUGUUCUCUUGGCACCUCUGCUGAGACUGCU